GAUGAACGCUGGCGGCGUGCCUAAUACAUGCAAGUCGAGCGAACAGACGAGGAGCUUGCUCCUCUGACGUUAGCGGCGGACGGGUGAGUAACACGUGGAUAACCUACCUAUAAGACUGGGAUAACUUCGGGAAACCGGAGCUAAUACCGUAUAAUAUAUUGAACCGCAUGGUGCAAUAGUGAAAGACGGUUUUGCUGUCACUUAUAGAUGGAUCCGCGCCGCAUUAGCUAGUUGGUAAGGUAACGGCUUACCAAGGCAACGAUGCGUAGCCGACCUGAGAGGGUGAUCGGCCACACUGGAACUGAGACACGGUCAAGACUCCUACGGGAGGCAGCAGUAGGGAAUCUUCCGCAAUGGGCGAAAGCCUGACGGAGCAACGCCGCGUGAGUGAUGAAGGUCUUCGGAUCGUAAAACUCUGUUAUUAGGGAAGAACAAAUGUGUAAGUAACUAUGCACGUCUUGACGGUACCUAAUCAGAAAGCCACGGCUAACUACGUG
RNAcentral lists this ribosomal RNA (497 nucleotides) under uncultured bacterium. Its description in RNAcentral is "partial 16S ribosomal RNA". It matches the Rfam family "Bacterial small subunit ribosomal RNA", at positions 28 to 507 of the family's 1533-position model. The record is from RNAcentral.